This 127-nucleotide microRNA precursor is filed under the name Myotis davidii. Its description in RNAcentral is "mir-9193 microRNA precursor family". It matches the Rfam family "mir-9193 microRNA precursor family". Lineage: Eukaryota; Metazoa; Chordata; Mammalia; Chiroptera; Vespertilionidae. The record is from Rfam by way of RNAcentral.
CGUGCAGCGGUGGGGUCCUUCGGCCUGGCCUGCACUGUCUUGCAAUCCAGGAACCCCUGGGGGGAUGUUGGAGAGCUGGUUUCAGCUUGAUCCUGCAGGCCAGGCUGAGGGACUCCACUGGUGCAAG